Molecule: long non-coding RNA, 212 nt
Filed under: Elaeis guineensis (African oil palm)
Lineage: Eukaryota; Viridiplantae; Streptophyta; Magnoliopsida; Arecales; Arecaceae
Description: long non-coding RNA (EGUI_LNC029955)
Source: RNAcentral
UCCCCCUUCCUUUCCGUGCCGAUGUGCACGCUCGCCGGUGACCGGAGUCGUCGGAUUUUGUUGCGGAAGAAUUUUCUUUUUUUGCCAUUUUGUCGUCGUCGGUGGUCACCGCCGACCACCGGUUUGGCCCUCUUCUUAUCGGCGAGUCACCCCCUCCUGCCGACGGCCGCCCCACGCCGGCUGCGCCGCCGGCCAGCCACCCAACGAGGGGA